Molecule: long non-coding RNA, 2340 nt
Organism: Diospyros lotus (date-plum)
Lineage: Eukaryota; Viridiplantae; Streptophyta; Magnoliopsida; Ericales; Ebenaceae
Exons: 2
Source: RefSeq, a predicted model, not a curated record
UUAGAUGGCCAUAAGCAAAAACAACCCGUGACAAAAUAUACAAGAAACCCCAAGAUAGAAAUAAAUCCAACAAAUGGGAACUGAAACCAAACAGGCCUAGCUAGGCAACUCAAAACAAAACGUGAUGAUUUUCAGCAUUGGAUUUGCAACUUUCAUCAACCCCAAUGCAAAGUCUAUGGUCAAAUAGAGCACAUAUAGAAUAAUAUAUAUAACUGUUGCCCUUAGAAAAGAAGCCCAAAAACAGACUAUUUCCUUGGAUCCCAUCCAUAUCAAAGCACCAAGGAAGAUGUGCGAACACUGCAUCUCAUGAGCUUGUGACUAGGCAAUGAAGAUCCAACAUAGUUUCUACUUUGCAAGUCAAGCAUUUGCUGCAAGCAGUUGCAGAACAGGCAGGUGCGCUAGCUAAACCUUGUCCUUUGCUCUAGCGAGUCUUUUAAUUAUAUGAAUUUUAUUCAAUUAUGUGGCAGCUCGAUCUAGUUGUUUCUCUUUUUGCCCCUUCUUGAUUUUGUUUUUAGGGUUUGUUCUGUUCUCUCCGUUGAUUUUGCUAAGCGAAAAAAGACACAGAGGCCUAACAUUCAAAAACACACAUGGAUUGCCUCUUUAACAUAUUCUGUUUGAGAUAUAUAUAUAUAUAUAUAUGGCCCCUAGCCGCCGCUGCAUUAAUGUCUCGACGUCGUCGUCGUUGCGGCGGUUGUUGCCUCCUUUCACCACCCAUCUCAUCUAUUACACUACCUUCAGCCAUCCCUUCUCCUUUUUGUUUCCCCAAUAUCGUUUGGCUAAAACCCUAGUUUUCCCCAAAAUCCCUGCUCGCUACUUCCCUCACCCUUCCCCUCUCUUCGCCAGUCUCACCCUCUCAUUUGCAUCCUCCAUCCCCUCGGUCUCUUGGAGUUGGGGCAUGGUUGCAUAUAUUGGCUUUAUCUACGUGCAGUUUCGGUUCUCAGAUCUAGUGAAAGUUUAGCGCAAAUCCCUCUCCACGACACAAAUCGAUGUUUGUUGGGUAUGAUCUUCAUAGACCAUUUGCAUCACUUCUCUGGAAUAAGGAACGCUGAUGAAGCUGGAAUGUACAAAGUAAUUCUCCUAUGGGGCUUUGCUACUCUCGUGGGAAUGGAGACUUUGUCUUGAUUCCCAUUUGCUGCGGCCUUGUUGAAUCAUUUUUCCACCUUCCAAGGGAAUCAAAAGCUAAUUCAUUUAGCCCUUAAACAUGGAGUCUUGCCGUUGUUGGUCUCACCCGUUACUCCCAAUUCAGCCAUAGUGCGUCUUGAAGCUGUUCAUCAGGAAGCAAUCCAAAUAUUUUGAGAUCAAUCAGCUAACCAGGCAAGCAAGAGAAGAGAAAUUAAGAAGAUCAGCUGUCAGGUGUUUCCUAGAGUUCCCUCUGAACACUUCAAUAUUUUAGGACUCUUCGCAAUCCUAAACUGAGGGAAGCCCUGACCUUACUGUACUGAAGUGUUUGGGGGAACUCUGGUUGCCAUCUGACAUUGCUUAGGUGGCAAGAGUAAAUAUUGAUGAUGAUUUUGGCUCAGUUUACUGGAUACCCAUUGAUCAGAAUUGCCUAUUUUCAAAAUGAAGAGUAAGUUUCUCUUUGAUAAUUCUAUAUAUGCUUUUUUUUUCUCUCAUCAUAUUCUUAACAUCAUAUUUGCUCCUCAAGAUUUUAGAUGCGAACUGAUCAAAGAAGGCUAAUCUGGGGUUUAAAAGUGUGAAUUUGUAUUGUAAUUGACACAAGCUAUUUGCACCAAGCGUUAAUUAUGCAGAAAUCACUGAUAAUUAACAAUGGAGACAUUGAUGUGAUGCAGACCAAUAAAGUUAUAUGGAGGCUGUCUGUGGCAACAUAAUUAAUAAACAAGUUACACAUCUGUGCACUUGGGAAUAAUUUUUUUUUCUUUUGUCUAAAUUUCAAAAAACAGUUUCUGGGCAUCUUAUCAGUUUUUAUAGAAUAGAAACGUAAAUUUGGUGAACUUUUCGGUCGAUUUCACAUUGACUCUGCGAGAUCGAGGCCAAUGGUGUUGAUGAUGUUGUUGCAUGGAUGUUGAUGCAGUUGGCAUGCAUGAUUAUAGACAGUACAUGAAGCGAGUGGAUAAAGGUAAAAAUACAACAUAUGGGACAAUGGCUUCAACAACGAUGAGCUUGAAUUCUCAGGAAAAAAAAACAAAAACAAAAAAAAACGAUGAGUUCCGACCAGUUCAAAAUGAUUGAAAAAAAAAAAACUCUUAGGAAAAGGUGGCUGUAAAUAAUUAAUUAGACCUAAUUGGAAUUGUCAUGUCGGAUUGUUUAAGAAUGUAGUUCCUAAAUAUUACAUUUUGUUCUCUUGUGGCGGAGACUAUGGAUAUUCAUUUUCUUAGAGAA